GAUGAACGCUGGCGGCGUGCUUAACACAUGCAAGUCGAACGAAGCAUUUGCGACAGAUUUUUUCGGAAUGAAGUUGCUUAUGACUGAGUGGCGGACGGGUGAGUAACGCGUGGGUAACCUGCCUUGUACUGGGGGAUAGCAGCUGGAAACGGCUGGUAAUACCGCAUAAGCGCACAAUGUUGCAUGACAUGGUGUGAAAAACUCCGGUGGUAUAAGAUGGACCCGCGUCUGAUUAGCUAGUUGGUGAGAUAACAGCCCACCAAGGCGACGAUCAGUAGCCGACCUGAGAGGGUGACCGGCCACAUUGGGACUGAGACACGGCCCAGACUCCUACGGGAGGCAGCAGUGGGGAAUAUUGCACAAUGGAGGAAACUCUGAUGCAGCGACGCCGCGUGAGUGAAGAAGUAAUUCGUUAUGUAAAGCUCUAUCAGCAGGGAAGAUAGUGACGGUACCUGACUAAGAAGCUCCGGCUAAAUACG
This 479-nucleotide ribosomal RNA is filed under the name uncultured bacterium. RNAcentral describes it as "partial 16S ribosomal RNA". It matches the Rfam family "Bacterial small subunit ribosomal RNA", at positions 28 to 505 of the family's 1533-position model. The record is from RNAcentral.